Molecule: long non-coding RNA, 2117 nt
Filed under: Capsicum annuum
Lineage: Eukaryota; Viridiplantae; Streptophyta; Magnoliopsida; Solanales; Solanaceae
Description: long non-coding RNA (CANN_LNC006575)
Source: RNAcentral
UGAGGGUAACCUAUACACCUAAAAAUCAUUUAUAACCAUUAUUAAACAACACAUACAAAUGUAUGAUAGUUUUUUAUACAUCUAACAAUUUAUAUCAUAAUUAGCUAACAUUUACACAUUGUAUAAGGUUCAUUUAUACAUUAAAAAAUAAAAUCAUACAAACGUUAAACAACUUAUGGUCAUGUAUGAUGGUAAGUUAUACAUGUAUAAAUAGACUGCAUUAAUGUAUAAUAUAUUCCAGUGUUAGAUAUAAUAAAAAUUUAAUUAACUUAUAAUGAAAACAUAGAAUACGUGUUGUUGAUAAGAUGUUUCUAACAAUAACUUAUGUUACAUGUUAUUAUACAUGACAUGAUUACAGUUGGAUAGCUGGUAAUGGUAAAUUCUACAUGUAUGACAGCAUAUUAUACGUUGGUUCACAUAUAUGAUAAAUUAGUUCACAUGUAUGACAUCAUAUUAUUUUUUAUUUGAAAUGGUGAAAAUCAGCUUUGGGAGGGAAAUAACAGGAUCCUCUUUUUCAAUUUCAACAAGAUGUGACUUUCUUUCACUUUUUUGGAAAGCUUGUUGCCUCUUUUGAAAGUCUUUGUCCACCAUUUGGGUAACAAGACUUUUCAAAUCCUUAUUUUCUUCUUUCUUUUAUAAGCCUUGGAAUAUAUUUUAAGACAAACAAAGACCACACUUUUGAUAUGUUGGUUCAAAUGUAUGACUGUAGGUUCAUAUGUAUGAUAUGUUUGUUCAGAUGUAUGGUAGUAGGUUCAGAUGUAUGAUAUGUUGGUUCAGAUGUAUGACAGUAGGUUUAGAUAUAUGGUAGCACAUGUCAAAAUUAAUAAAAGUUGUUAGACAUGAUAGCGGGUAACUUAUUCAUUUACGAACAAAUUGCAUCAACGUAUAAUAAAAUCAACACUAACCGCUAUAGAGUUGCACAUGUAUGAGAAUAACCUAUACAUCUAACAAUUCAUAUUACACUCUACUAAAAGUACAUCUCAACAUGUUUGCAUACAUUAAAGCCUAUUUAUAAUAAAACUUUGCCAAUCCAGUAAACUUGUGAAUGUAUAAUAUGUUGUUAUAUAUUCAAAUCAUUGUAUAAUGAAAGUGUGUCGUUCCAGUAAACAUUCGAAUGUAUAAUAUUGGUUCACAUGUAUGACAAAUUAGUUCACAUGUAUGACAUCAUAAUUAUACAUUGAUUCACAUGUAUGAUAAAUUCUUUUACACGUAUGAUAUCAUAUUCUUGGUUCACAAGUCUUGGAUCCUAUUUUUAAAUUUCAACAAGAUGUGACCUUUUUGGAAAAGUUGUUUUAAGACAAACAAAGACCACACUUAUUUCUUCUUAUUUUUGCAUCAAACCACCAUUAUUUGAAUGGUCUUCUUCAACAACAUCUGAAAAAUAUGAAGAACACAAACAAUAUUAAAAAACUGAUAAAUUGGUUCACAUGUAUGAUCUGAUUUUUUUUUGUAACAAAAAAAAUUAAAGAUCUAACUUGUACUAUAUGAAAAAAUAAAAAUAAAAAAAUGAACUACUAAACUUGAAUAGAAUUGAAGAAUAAUGAAAUUUGAACAUGCAAAUGAAGAAUAAAUGAAAACCCCCUUAAUUGGUAAGGUUGAACUUGACAGAAAAAAAUUAAAAAAUUAAUGAACUAGAAUAUUAAACAGAAUUAAAUCUUGAUAACUUACUAUAGGCAAAUCAAAGAUCUAACUUAUACUAUAUGAAAAAAUAAUCAAAAAAACCGAAAUACUAAACUUGAAUAUGAAUGAAGAAUAAUGAAAUUUGAACAUGUAAAUAAAGGAAAAAUGGAAACCCCCUUAAUUGGUAAAGUUGAACUUCAUAGCAAAAAAUUAAAAAAUAUUAAUGAACUAAAAUAGUAAACACAAUUAAAUCUUGAUAACUUACAAUUUGAUAAUCAUUAGGUUGAAGUUCCUUCAAUUUUGCCGUAAAAGAUGAUUUCAAAACUGGAGUACAAUUCAUAUGAGUAAUGGAAGAAGUAGAGAGUGAAAGAAGAAAGAACAUUAGAGAGUGAAAGAACAAGGCAAAAGCUGCCAAAUGAACUAAAGUUAUUUCCUUUUCCUUAAUUUAUGGUAUAAAGUAACAAACUGUUCUCUUUCUUUAGCUUUUUUAUUUGAAA